AAAUUGAAGAGUUUGAUCAUGGCUCAGAUUGAACGCUGGCGGCAGGCCUAACACAUGCAAGUCGAACGGUAACAGGAAGCAGCUUGCUGCUUUGCUGACGAGUGGCGGACGGGUGAGUAAUGUCUGGGAAACUGCCUGAUGGAGGGGGAUAACUACUGGAAACGGUGGCUAAUACCGCAUAACGUCGCAAGACCAAAGAGGGGGACCUUCGGGCCUCUUGCCAUCAGAUGUGCCCAGAUGGGAUUAGCUWGUUGGUGAGGUAACGGCUCACCAAGGCGACGAUCCCUAGCUGGUCUGAGAGGAUGACCAGCCACACUGGAACUGAGACACGGUCCAGACUCCUACGGGAGGCAGCAGUGGGGAAUAUUGCACAAUGGGCGCAAGCCUGAUGCAGCCAUGCCGCGUGUAUGAAGAAGGCCUUCGGGUUGUAAAGUACUUUCAGCGGGGAGGAAGGUGUUGUGGUUAAUAACCGCAGCAAUUGACGUUACCCGCAGAAGAAGCACCGGCUAACUCCGUGCCAGCAGCCGCGGUAAUACGGAGGGUGCAAGCGUUAAUCGGAAUUACUGGGCGUAAAGCGCACGCAGGCGGUCUGUCAAGUCGGAUGUGAAAUCCCCGGGCUCAACCUGGGAACUGCAUUCGAAACUGGCAGGCUUGAGUCUUGUAGAGGGGGGUAGAAUUCCAGGUGUAGCGGUGAAAUGCGUAGAGAUCUGGAGGAAUACCGGUGGCGAAGGCGGCCCCCUGGACAAAGACUGACGCUCAGGUGCGAAAGCGUGGGGAGCAAACAGGAUUAGAUACCCUGGUAGUCCACGCCGUAAACGAUGUCUACUUGGAGGUUGUGCCCUUGAGGCGUGGCUUCCGGAGCUAACGCGUUAAGUAGACCGCCUGGGGAGUACGGCCGCAAGGUUAAAACUCAAAUGAAUUGACGGGGGCCCGCACAAGCGGUGGAGCAUGUGGUUUAAUUCGAUGCAACGCGAAGAACCUUACCUGGUCUUGACAUCCACAGAAGAAUCCAGAGAUGGAUUUGUGCCUUCGGGAACUGUGAGACAGGUGCUGCAUGGCUGUCGUCAGCUCGUGUUGUGAAAUGUUGGGUUAAGUCCCGCAACGAGCGCAACCCUUAUCCUUUGUUGCCAGCGGUYCGGCCGGGAACUCAAAGGAGACUGCCAGUGAUAAACUGGAGGAAGGUGGGGAUGACGUCAAGUCAUCAUGGCCCUUACGACCAGGGCUACACACGUGCUACAAUGGCGCAUACAAAGAGAAGCGACCUCGCGAGAGCAAGCGGACCUCAUAAAGUGCGUCGUAGUCCGGAUUGGAGUCUGCAACUCGACUCCAUGAAGUCGGAAUCGCUAGUAAUCGUGGAUCAGAAUGCCACGGUGAAUACGUUCCCGGGCCUUGUACACACCGCCCGUCACACCAUGGGAGUGGGUUGCAAAAGAAGUAGGUAGCUUAACCUUCGGGAGGGCGCUUACCACUUUGUGAUUCAUGACUGGGGUGAAGUCGUAACAAGGUAACCGUAGGGGAACCUGCGGUUGGAUCACCUCCUUACCU
RNAcentral lists this ribosomal RNA (1545 nucleotides) under Salmonella enterica subsp. enterica serovar Infantis. Its description in RNAcentral is "bacterial SSU rRNA". Lineage: Bacteria; Pseudomonadati; Pseudomonadota; Gammaproteobacteria; Enterobacterales; Enterobacteriaceae. The record is from RNAcentral.